RNAcentral lists this long non-coding RNA (400 nucleotides) under Malus domestica (apple). RNAcentral's name for it is "long non-coding RNA (MDOM_LNC017982)". The record is from RNAcentral. Lineage: Eukaryota; Viridiplantae; Streptophyta; Magnoliopsida; Rosales; Rosaceae.
CAGGAUACAAAUACCACCAUUUAUUCCACAAGACUCCAAAUGUAAGAUUUGAAUAUAAAUAUACAUAGUUGUAUUGUAGUCCUUUUAAUUAUUCUAUAAAGGAUAUAUAGAUAGGACCAAUGCUUAUUGAUGUAAACAAAGUUGAAAAACAUGGAGAUAAAAUAACUCUUCCCAUUAUAAAUAAAUGUGCAAAAAAAGAGUUUAGAGAAUCAUCAUGUUUUCAACUUUGGUAUAGUGCCAAUAAGAAGAGUUUAGAAUCAUCAUGUUUUUCAACUUUGGUAUAGUACCAAUAAGAAGAGUUUAGAAUCAUUAAUGAUUUUUAUUAUUCAUUUUUCGGACUACUUAGUUGACACACCCCGACCAAAAAUCAAGGCGUGCUGGCCGUCAUGUGAGGGUGACA